AGGUCUAGGAUGCUGGAAUGCACUUAGUCUGAAAACUCCGGUGCCUAAGGAUGAAUCUGCGGACUAUCAGGUUGUAGUCAGGGUAAUGACCUGACUAGCCUAUGACGGAUAUGGGUUGUGGGAGCAAUAACCCAGAGAUGAUAUCUGAGACACGAUAUCAGGCCCUACGGGGCGCAGCAGGCGCGAAAACUUCGCAAUGUGCGAAAGCACGACGAGGGAAUCCCAAGUGCUUGCACGUAAGUGUAAGCUGUUUCUCUGUUUAAAACGCAGAGAGAGUAAGGGCUGGGUAAGACGGGUGCCAGCCGCCGCGGUAAUACCUGCAGCUCAAGUGGUGGCCGUUAUUAUUGGGCCUAAAACGUCCGUAGCCGGUUUAUUAAAUGCCUGGGUAAAUCGGACCGCUUAACGGUUCGAAUUCCGGGUAGACUGAUAAACUUGAGACCGGGAGAAGUUAGAGGUACUCCUGGGGUAGAGGUGAAAUUCUGUAAUCCUAGGGGGACCACCAGUGGCGAAAGCGUCUAACUAGAACGGGUCUGACGGUGAGGGACGAAGCCCUGGGGCGCAAACGGGAUUAGAUACCCCGGUAGUCCAGGGUGUAAACGCUGCUUGCUUGAUGUUAGUCGGGCUCCGAGCCCAAUUAGUGUCG
This 643-nucleotide ribosomal RNA is filed under the name uncultured archaeon. Its description in RNAcentral is "bacterial SSU rRNA". It matches the Rfam family "Archaeal small subunit ribosomal RNA", at positions 156 to 803 of the family's 1478-position model. The record is from RNAcentral.